CCCUCUCUGCGGGGGGGGGGGGAGUUGGGAAUCUUCCACAAUGGACGCAAGUCUGAUGGAGCAACGCCGCGUGAGUGAAGAAGGUUUUCGGAUCGUAAAGCUCUGUUGUUGGUGAAGAAGGAUAGAGGCAGUAACUGGUCUUUAUUUGACGGUAAUCAACCAGAAAGUCACGGCUAACUACGUGCCAGCAGCCGCGGUAAUACGUAGGUGGCAAGCGUUGUCCGGAUUUAUUGGGCGUAAAGCGAGCGCAGGCGGAAUGAUAAGUCUGAUGUGAAAGCCCACGGCUCAACCGUGGAACUGCAUCGGAAACUGUCAUUCUUGAGUGCAGAAGAGGAGAGUGGAAUUCCAUGUGUAGCGGUGGAAUGCGUAGAUAUAUGGAAGAACACCAGUGGCGAAGGCGGCUCUCUGGUCUGCAACUGACGCUGAGGCUCGAAAGCAUGGGUAGCGAACAGGAUUAGAUACCCUGGUAGUCCAUGCCGUAAACGAUGAGCGCUAGGUGUUGGGGACUUUCCGGUCCUCAGUGCCGCAGCAAACGCAUUAAGCGCUCCGCCUGGAGACACCA
This 562-nucleotide ribosomal RNA is filed under the name Lactobacillus delbrueckii subsp. bulgaricus. Its description in RNAcentral is "bacterial SSU rRNA". It matches the Rfam family "Bacterial small subunit ribosomal RNA", at positions 333 to 884 of the family's 1533-position model. Lineage: Bacteria; Bacillati; Bacillota; Bacilli; Lactobacillales; Lactobacillaceae. The record is from RNAcentral.